This 121-nucleotide small nucleolar RNA is filed under the name Octodon degus (degu). RNAcentral's name for it is "Small nucleolar RNA SNORA40 (ENSODEG00000022238.1)". It matches the Rfam family "Small nucleolar RNA SNORA40". Rfam says of the family: The snoRNA ACA 40 belongs to the H/ACA family of snoRNAs and guides the pseudouridylation of 28S rRNA subunit at position U4565. The record is from Rfam by way of RNAcentral. Lineage: Eukaryota; Metazoa; Chordata; Mammalia; Rodentia; Octodontidae.
UACCUGUGUUUCUGUCUUUUGUGGAAUAAAACUUAAAUGAACAGGUGCAAAAAAAAAUCCUCUUUUUCAAUUCAUCACACAUUGUUUGGUAUGAGUUUUGGUACAUAAAAGAAGGAAUAUU